This 1372-nucleotide ribosomal RNA is filed under the name uncultured bacterium. Its description in RNAcentral is "bacterial SSU rRNA". It matches the Rfam family "Bacterial small subunit ribosomal RNA", at positions 28 to 1381 of the family's 1533-position model. The record is from RNAcentral.
GAUGAACGCUGGCGUCGUGCCUAAUACAUGCAAGUCGAGCGAACGGACGAGAAGCUUGCUUCUCUGAUGUUAGCGGCGGACGGGUGAGUAACACGUGGAUAACCUACCUAUAAGACUGGGAUAACUUCGGGAAACCGGAGCUAAUACCGGAUAAUACUUUGAACCGCAUGGUUCAAAAGUGAAAGACGGUCUUGCUGUCACUUAUAGAUGGAUCCGCGCUGCAUUAGCUAGUUGGUAAGGUAACGGCUUACCAAGGCAACGAUGCAUAGCCGACCUGAGAGGGUGAUCGGCCACACUGGAACUGAGACACGGUCCAGACUCCUACGGGAGGCAGCAGUAGGGAAUCUUCCGCAAUGGGCGAAAGCCUGACGGAGCAACGCCGCGUGAGUGAUGAAGGUCUUCGGAUCGUAAAACUCUGUUAUUAGGGAAGAACAUAUGUGUAAGUAACUGUGCACAUCUUGACGGUACCUAAUCAGAAAGCCACGGCUAACUACGUGCCAGCAGCCGCGGUAAUACGUAGGUGGCAAGCGUUAUCCGGAAUUAUUGGGCGUAAAGCGCGCGUAGGCGGUUUUUUAAGUCUGAUGUGAAAGCCCACGGCUCAACCGUGGAGGGUCAUUGGAAACUGGAAAACUUGAGUGCAGAAGAGGAAAGUGGAAUUCCAUGUGUAGCGGUGAAAUGCGCAGAGAUAUGGAGGAACACCAGUGGCGGAGGCGACUUUCUGGUCUGUAACUGACGCUGAUGUGCGAAAGCGUGGGGAUCAAACAGGAUUAGAUACCCUGGUAGUCCACGCCGUAAACGAUGAGUGCUAAGUGUUAGGGGGUUUCCGCCCCUUAGUGCUGCAGCUAACGCAUUAAGCACUCCGCCUGGGGAGUACGACCGCAAGGUUGAAACUCAAAGGAAUUGACGGGGACCCGCACAAGCGGUGGAGCAUGUGGUUUAAUUCGAAGCAACGCGAAGAACCUUACCAAAUCUUGACAUCCUUUGACAACUCUAGAGAUAGAGCCUUCCCCUUCGGGGGACAAAGUGACAGGUGGUGCAUGGUUGUCGUCAGCUCGUGUCGUGAGAUGUUGGGUUAAGUCCCGCAACGAGCGCAACCCUUAAGCUUAGUUGCCAUCAUUAAGUUGGGCACUCUAAGUUGACUGCCGGUGACAAACCGGAGGAAGGUGGGGAUGACGUCAAAUCAUCAUGCCCCUUAUGAUUUGGGCUACACACGUGCUACAAUGGACAAUAUAAAGGGCAGCGAAACCGCGAGGUCAAGCAAAUCCCAUAAAGUUGUUCUCAGUUCGGAUUGUAGUCUGCAACUCGACUACAUGAAGCUGGAAUCGCUAGUAAUCGUAGAUCAGCAUGCUACGGUGAAUACGUUCCCGGGUCU